This 356-nucleotide ribosomal RNA is filed under the name uncultured eukaryote. Its description in RNAcentral is "partial 18S ribosomal RNA". It matches the Rfam family "Eukaryotic small subunit ribosomal RNA", at positions 592 to 976 of the family's 1831-position model. The record is from RNAcentral.
CAAUAGCGUAUAUUAAAGUUGUUGCAGUUAAAAAGCUCGUAGUUGAAUUUCUGGCGGGCGCGCCGGUCUUCCAAGUGUUGUACUGGGCGCAGUCCGCCAUCCUUGUGGAGAGGGCUCGCAUUGAGUUGCGUGUCGGAUCUGCAUCAUUUACUGUGAGUGUUCAAAGCAGGCUGUCGCUUGAAUACAUUAGCAUGGAAUAAUAAGAUAGGACUUCGGUCUAUUUUGUUGGUUGCGAACCGAGGUAAUGAUUAAUAGGGAUAGUUGGGGGUAUUCAUAUUUAAUUGUCAGAGGUGAAAUUCUUGGAUUUAUGAAAGAUGAACAACUGCGAAAGCAUUUACCAAGGAUGUUUUCAUUAA